Molecule: ribosomal RNA, 262 nt
Filed under: Bacillus amyloliquefaciens
Lineage: Bacteria; Bacillati; Bacillota; Bacilli; Caryophanales; Bacillaceae
Also listed under: 2 other names
Description: partial 16S ribosomal RNA
Rfam family: Bacterial small subunit ribosomal RNA
Source: RNAcentral
UUUAUCGGAGAGUUUGAUCCUGGCUCAGGACGAACGCUGGCGGCGUGCCUAAUACAUGCAAGUCGAGCGGACAGAUGGGAGCUUGCUCCCUGAUGUUAGCGGCGGACGGGUGAGUAACACGUGGGUAACCUGCCUGUAAGACUGGGAUAACUCCGGGAAACCGGGGCUAAUACCGGAUGGUUGUCUGAACCGCAUGGUUCAGACAUAAAAGGUGGCUUCGGCUACCACUUACAGAUGGACCCGCGGCGCAUUAGCUAGUUGG